Molecule: long non-coding RNA, 1603 nt
Organism: Solanum pennellii
Lineage: Eukaryota; Viridiplantae; Streptophyta; Magnoliopsida; Solanales; Solanaceae
Exons: 3
Source: RefSeq, a predicted model, not a curated record
UUUAUAUUCUCUAGGGUUUCUCAAUUGAGCUUGCUCUCCAAACAUAUUGCUCAUGUCGCCGCUUGGGACUUUCUCCAACUUUGACCUUCCUUUUUCUGUUGCAUUGGAUUAUCAAUCCUUUUGUCUUCUUGUUCUCUAAUCCUCUUCUCAACUCACAAAGUUUUAGUAGAAAUAUCAAGAUGCUCCCGUUCUCCUUUCAAAUAAAAGAAGAUUUGGACAUCACAACUGAAAGGACAUGUGAUGGGCAAAAACUGAAGGAGUUCCUUUCUAGGAACAGUUUUUCUAGUCUCCAUGUGACUUUCAAGCUCUUGUUUUUUACCGUUGCAACUUUUUGUCUUCAAUGGAGAACCAAAUAUUUCAAACUAUUGAUUGUUCAAUUGAAGUUGUGAAGGAUUCAUGGUCAAAGGAUAUUGCUGAGAUUCUAUGUAUGUUACAAGAGGUUGUAGGGAAAUUAUCUCGAACCACACCUCAAUUUUCCCUUGAGUCAUGUUCAUCCAUGGAAGUAGAUUUCGUGGAAAUAUCCAGAUUCAACUUCGAUGAUCCUGCAACACGGUUCAGGUAGAACAAUAUUUCACUCACUGUAACAUUCGUUUAGAUAAAAAAAUUGUCAUUGGAGUCUUUAUAUUUGGAUGUGGAUGCUUUGAAUUGGUAUUGCUGGUUAUUUCGAAACAAGCAACUUGCCGAUUUGGAUUAUUUUGUAGCAAAAUUGUUCAUGCGAUUCUGAACUCGGACUCAAGAAACACCUGAUAGGCGUUUAGCCUUUCUCCGGCAACUUACCACAAUAGACUGUUGUUCGGAAGGAACUGCAACUAUUCCUUCAUGGAAUACCAUGGCCAACUCUUCCUCGCCUCAAUAUUGGAAUGUAGGCUAUGACUACAACAACCAAACAUUUGCCCAAAAUGUUGAAUAAGACAACGGAAAAUGUUGUGAAUGUUGAAGCAAUGUGUCAAAUGCCAGAUGCUAUGAAACCAAAAGGUGACUACAAGGAUAUACCAUCACAAAUUAAAAUUGAGGGUGCUGAAAUUUGGCUAACUCGAGCAAAACAGGAGGACUGUUAUUCUAAGGAGAUACCUUCCUCUAGUUCCGAUAAUGACAUAUAAAAAUGUCCAAGGAGGCAUGCCAUUGCAGAUCACAGAAACCGGUGCUAAAGUUACAGUAAACAAGGCGUACAAGUUGUUUGGUAUUUAUUAUCAUAAAGUCCGGCAACAAUUAGUUGACAAUAAAGUGGUCGACUCACUCUGGAAAAGAAGUGACCCUUUGAUUUUAGAUGGAACCAGAUUGAUGCACAACCACAUAUUUAUAAAUUUUCAUUUGAUCCCGGUGAGUCUAUUUCUCAUUUAUGUUCAAGGGCAUGAUAUACAUUUUGAUAUAUCACGUUACUUGUCGAUUGAAUUGUAUUCUAGUGUAUUUGUUCUUGAUAGUACUACAAAAGGCGGAAAAUUGUUGACUGAAAUGGCAGUAUAAAACUGGGUGGACAAACUGGUCAACCUCGACUGCCACGACCACUUCCAAAACAAUCUUUCAAGGCUUUACUAUUGGAAUUUUCUAGCGCAACUUGAGCAAUCUGUUGAAAUAGCAAAUGAAUUCGACUUGCUUGUUAUAA